CCCUUUGGGUGUGACUGCGUACCUUUUGUAUAAUGGGUCAGCGACUUAUAUUCUGUAGCAAGGUUAACCGAAUAGGGGAGCCGGAGGGAAACCGAGUCUUAACCGGGCGUUAAGUUGCAGGGUAUAGACCCGAAACCCGGUGAUCUAGCCAUGGGCAGGUUGAAGGUUGGGUAACACUAACUGGAGGACCGAACCGACUAAUGUUGAAAAAUUAGCGGAUGACCUGUGGCUGGGGGUGAAAGGCCAAUCAAACCGGGAGAUAGCUGGUUCUCCCCGAAAGCUAUUUAGGUAGCGCCUCGUGAAUUCAUCUCCGGGGGUAGAGCACUGUUUCGGCUAGGGGGCCAUCCCGGCUUACCAACCCGAUGCAAACUGCGAAUACCGGAGAAUGUUAUCACGGGAGACACACGGCGGGUGCUAACGUCCGUCGUGAAGAGGGAAACAACCCAGACCGCCAGCUAAGGUCCCAAAGUCAUGGUUAAGUGGGAAACGAUGUGGGAAGGCCCAGACAGCCAGGAUGUUGGCUUAGAAGCAGCCAUCAUUUAAAGAAAGCGUAAUAGCUCACUGGUCGAGUCGGCCUGCGCGGAAGAUGUAACGGGGCUAAACCAUG
Molecule: ribosomal RNA, 607 nt
Filed under: Salmonella enterica
Lineage: Bacteria; Pseudomonadati; Pseudomonadota; Gammaproteobacteria; Enterobacterales; Enterobacteriaceae
Also listed under: 2 other names
Description: partial 23S ribosomal RNA
Rfam family: Bacterial large subunit ribosomal RNA
Source: RNAcentral